UAAUUAUCCAAUGCUAAGCCAAACGUCCCCAGACCAUUGCCUAUCAAGUGUGAACUUCACUUGUCUUUGUCGAGUUCGCUGGCUCAACUCACCAUUCUCCUAAAAGGGCGGGCACCCUGCAGUACCGCCUUCAACGCACAGUCGAUGAGCUCGACGACGAAAGCGUGGGCUGUUCACGCGUCGCAAAAUGGCUGAGAUCGUGAAGCAGGGGCGAAAGUUGAGUAUAAACUGAAGCGACCGAGUCCACUCAAGCAGGAUUACUUUUUUUUUUUUUUCUUAAGAUAGGGACACAAAUACAGAAAUUAAGGAGAGAACUUGACGUCUUAAUAAAAUUAUAAUAAUUUUAUCAAGAUUUCGUAUUUUAUUUAAUCACUGUACGCACACACUUCACACCUGUGGGAUCCGAUGAACCAAGCAGGACUACUUGGCUUAUGUUGAGUAGAGAUUCAACUUCACUCGCUUCGCUACCUCCGCCAGAAAUUGGUGGCGCGUGAGCUUAAAAGAAGGGAAAUAAAAAAACAAAAAAGAUAUCAGUUUCUGAUUUUUCCGGGUUUUGAGAAUCGUCCUCGUCAUGCUGAGGAUUUAACCCAAAAUGUUAGAAAGGAAUCCGUAUAACCGACCUUAAGUUGGGUUGAGUUGAGUUGAGUUGAGAAUCGUCGUGCUGUAAUGAGAUGUAAGGGAGAGAUUGAACUGAGGUUUCGGUAAUUGGAGUUCUGUAGGGAUCGAAGGAAUGGCAGAAUGAAAAAGGUAUAUUUUGUGUGUGUGUUUUGUCCCUGUUUGGUUGCUGAGAAAGUAGGUAUUUUUUUUGUUUUUUUGGUGCUUGGUUGUUGAGAAAGUGAAGUACUGGAUAAGAAAAGGAAAGUUUUUUAUUUUUAAGAAAUCAAUAAUGCAUGGACUACACCAGUUGGAUUCAGUUUUAUGCUAAUUUUGAUUGUUCAUUGACACUUUUGGGAACAAGUUUUUGUAAGAUUCUUUAAUGUAAUUAAGACAUAUGGAGGUUUUGUGGAAAAGUUGAGGUUUUUGAAGGUCUAAAAUUCUCAGUUUCUCAAUCCAGGUGUUGAAAAGGUUUUUAUAAAUUGAACAUUAGAUAUUAUCAUUCCUUAUUUUCUCAUAUCAUCCGAGAAACAUCAAGCAACAUAACCAUCAUUUACCUUACCUUUCAUUACUUUAUCUUUUCUCCUUACACCCUCCCAAACCAAGUUUAACGUGUAUUGGUUGGAAUAAUCUUUUGUUUAGGUGUUUUUGAGGUAUGUGCUUCAUUCUUGUUAGUGUUUACUAUAACGGUUUCCCCUGGAGAGGACAAGGGAACUUUAGUCCCUGAUCAUGUAGAUGCUGAUGAGCAACAGUGAAGAAAAGAAAAUGAUGGUGUGUUUGUGUCACUGGAUGAAGAAAUUGCAAACAGUAAUGGAUCAAAUGUUAAUGUUAGUGAGUCUGAGAAGAAAGUGGAUUUGUUUCGACAACAAGGAUUGAACAUUCUUCAGACUCUCUAUAGUGGGGCAGUUGAAGCGGUUCCUUAUAGUUUUGGUCUGAGAAAGCGGUUAUUUUAGAUAUUGGAAGCAACAGAGUUGGCAGAUUCAGAAGACAUGCAUAGGGAGAUCCUAAGUGAUAUAAGGAAAAAAUUUUCAAAAGAUCCAGAAUAUUGGGAUUGGAUUGCUAGACUUGAAAUGACUAAUUCUGGAACUAUACAGGAGAAGAUUGAAAAGGCGUCUUCCUGCCACAUCUACAAAAAGCAGUUCAGAUACACAAUUCCACAAAACCAUGUUUAUGAGGAGGCUUCCAUUAUGUUUAACCUAUUUAUAAAGUUCUUUAUGGAUGUUGUUGGGCGUAAAAGAAAAGAAGACCGAGUCUCUGGAUUACCCAAUCACACUGAAGAUUAUAUUUAAUAUUUCUCAUAUAUUGAGGAUAUACGAGAAAGCUGAGACAUUGGGAUGCAUUACUGAGGAUCUUGCUUUUGAAUAUGUGCCAUUUUACUUGCAACUAGGGAGACUAGAUGGAGGCAAGAAGCUAGCAGAAAAAUUUUUGAAGUGGAAAGCUUUCAAAUUUGGUAAAAUUAUGGCUUUUAAGGGCCUCUUUGGAAAUCAGAUGUCCUACAAAUAAUACUCCUGGACAAAGUAAGGUUGAUCUGCAAUCCGUCUUUGGACUUCUUUGAAGUUUGUUGACAAAAAUGUCAAUAACAGAAGCUAAGGACUUGUGGAUAAUGGUAUAUUUUUGUACUUCCGUAGUUCUACCAUUUCUGCUGUCCAAUUCUUAGAUUAUGUGACUGAUUAAUCUGCUUUCAUAUUUACCAGUCAUCACUGGCUCUAUUUCUUUUGCCUAUCAGAAAUAUCUGUUAAGAUAUGCAUCAUUUUCUGUAUAAAGUAUUUGCCUAAUGAAAAUACAAGUAUCACAGGCUUGUAACCCUUCAAAUAAAUAGCAAAGAUUUUGUUUGGAUGAAA
Hevea brasiliensis (rubber tree) is the source of this 2435-nucleotide long non-coding RNA. RefSeq lists it as uncharacterized. The record is from RefSeq and is a predicted model, not a curated record. The transcript is spliced from 2 exons. Lineage: Eukaryota; Viridiplantae; Streptophyta; Magnoliopsida; Malpighiales; Euphorbiaceae.